This 386-nucleotide ribosomal RNA is filed under the name Bacillus thuringiensis. RNAcentral's name for it is "partial 23S ribosomal RNA". It matches the Rfam family "Bacterial large subunit ribosomal RNA", at positions 572 to 960 of the family's 2925-position model. The record is from RNAcentral. Lineage: Bacteria; Bacillati; Bacillota; Bacilli; Caryophanales; Bacillaceae.
AGUGGGAGCCCCUUCGGGGGUGACUGCGUACCUUUUGUAUAAUGGGUCAGCGACUUACUACUUUGUGGCAAGCUUAACCGUUUAGGGGAGGCGUAGGGAAACCGAGUCUUAAUAGGGCGAAUUAGUCGCAAGGUGUAGACCCGAAACCGGGCGAUCUAUCCAUGGCCAGGGUGAAGGUGCGGUAACACGCGCUGGAGGCCCGAACCCACUUAUGUUGAAAAAUGAGGGGAUGAGCUGUGGAUCGGAGUGAAAGGCUAAUCAAGCCCGGAGAUAGCUGGUUCUCCUCGAAAGCUAUUUAGGUAGCGCCUCGCGUAUGACUCCAGGUGGUAGAGUACUGUUAUGGUUAGGGGGGAAUCCCGGCUUACCAAAUCGUUUCAAAGUACGAA